GAUGAACGCUGGCGGCGUGCCUAAUACAUGCAAGUCGAGCGAACGGACGAGAAGCUUGCUUCUCUGAUGUUAGCGGCGGACGGGUGAGUAACACGUGGAUAACCUACCUAUAAGACUGGGAUAACUUCGGGAAACCGGAGCUAAUACCGGAUAAUAUUUUGAACCGCAUGGUUCAAAAGUGAAAGACGGUCUUGCUGUCACUUAUAGAUGGAUCCGCGCUGCAUUAGCUAGUUGGUAAGGUAACGGCUUACCAAGGCAACGAUGCAUAGCCGACCUGAGAGGGGGAUCGGCCACACUGGAACUGAGACACGGGCCAGACUCCUACGGGAGGCAGCAGUAGGGAAUCUUCCGCAAUGGGCGAAAGCCUGACGGAGCAACGCCGCGUGAGUGAUGAAGGUCUUCGGAUCGUAAAACUCUGUUAUUAGGGAAGAACAUAUGUGUAAGUAACUGUGCACAUCUUGACGGUACCUAAUCAGAAAGCCACGGCUAACUACGUG
RNAcentral lists this ribosomal RNA (497 nucleotides) under uncultured bacterium. Its description in RNAcentral is "partial 16S ribosomal RNA". It matches the Rfam family "Bacterial small subunit ribosomal RNA", at positions 28 to 507 of the family's 1533-position model. The record is from RNAcentral.